RNAcentral lists this ribosomal RNA (748 nucleotides) under Pythium sp. UZ253. RNAcentral describes it as "LSU rRNA". It matches the Rfam family "Eukaryotic large subunit ribosomal RNA", at positions 62 to 648 of the family's 3401-position model. Lineage: Eukaryota; Oomycota; Peronosporomycetes; Pythiales; Pythiaceae. The record is from RNAcentral.
AAACUAACCAGGAUUCCCCUAGUAACGGCGAGUGAAGCGGGAUGAGCUCAAGCUUAAAAUCUCUGUGCAAGUUUUGCAUGGCGAAUUGUAGUCUAUGGAGGCGCUGUCAGUGCGGCCACUUGGGGUAAGUUCCUUGGAAGAGGACAGCAUCGAGGGUGAUACUCCCGUUUGUACCUGAGUGUGUUGCGCGUACGACACGUUUUCUUCGAGUCGCGUUGUUUGGGACUGCAGCGCAAAGUAGGUGGUAAAUUCCAUCUAAAGCUAAAUAUUGGUGCGAGACCGAUAGCGAACAAGUACCGUGAGGGAAAGAUGAAAAGAACUUUGAAAAGAGAGUUAAAGAGUACCUGAAACUGCUGAAAGGGAAGCGAAUCGUAUCCAGUGUCUAUAAUCCUUGACAUAUUUCAUUGGCGCGUGUGCGCGUGUUGAGCGUUGGAAGCAACUUGUUGCUCCAUGCUUGGCUCUGCGUGUGCUUGCUGUUGCCCUGUGUCUUGGUGGGACGUCAGAGUCAGUUCGUAUGCUGCGGGAAAUGGCUAUUGAGGAGGUAGGUCAGGGUUCGCCUUGGCUGUUAUAUCUUGGUAGCUAGUGGUCGUGGUUGGGACUGAGGUGCCUACAAUGUGCUUUUGGGUCUGUUGGGUUCUCGUUUCUCAACUUGUCUGGAUAGCUUGCUAUGCUGGCGGGUUUGUGGAGGCGAUUGAGUCUGUCAGUAACCUUUGCCGUUCGGGACUUUGACGAAAUGGAGCGAUUCGGC